RNAcentral lists this unclassified non-coding RNA (253 nucleotides) under uncultured Anaerolineae bacterium. Its description in RNAcentral is "contains 16S-23S intergenic spacer region". It matches the Rfam family "Bacterial small subunit ribosomal RNA", at positions 524 to 776 of the family's 1533-position model. Lineage: Bacteria; Bacillati; Chloroflexota; Anaerolineae. The record is from RNAcentral.
UACGUAGGUGGCAAACGUUAUCCGGAAUUACUGGGCGUAAAGGGUCCGCAGGCGGUCAAUCAAGUCGGACGUGAAAGCGCGCGGCUCAACUGCGCGAGGCCGUUCGAAACUGAUUGACUUGAAUCCGGCAGAGGUCGGUAGAAUUCCCGGUGUAGUGGUGGAAUGCGUAGAGAUCGGGAGGAAUACCAAGAGCGAAGGCAGCCGGCUGGGCCGAGAUUGACGCUGAGGGACGAAGGCGUGGGGAGCGAACAGG